UGCGCUGAGCUCAUGAUCCAAAACUGGACCCUUGGAGCCGUCGACUCGCAGAUGGAUGACAUGGACAUGGACUUAGACAAGGAAUUUCUCCAGGACUUGAAGGAGCUCAAGGUGCUAGUGGCUGACAAGGACCUUCUGGACCUGCACAAGAGGUGACCUUGUAGGGGCCCAUGGGGCGGGGCCUGCAGUAGGGGCCCAGGUGGCUAUAGGCGUGACCCUGUCUCUCUGCAGCCUGGUGUGCACUGCUCUCCGGGGAAAGCUGGGCGUCUUCUCUGAGAUGGAAGCCAACUUCAAGGUCUGUGGUCCCAUCCAGCCUCUGACCCUUGGCAUCUUCAGCCUCCAGUUCGCCACCCCUACCGGGCAGCUCUGCCCCUGCCAGGGAUUGGCCGGCAGGUGGCACUGCUGCUCCCUCUGGUGGCCGCUGACGGGAGCAGCUCAUAAACAAUGGGGAGUUGGUUGAUGGAGGGAGGUGGAUGGAUCUGGGGAGGGGCCUGCUCCUCCUCCCCCAGCUUCUGUGCUCAGCUGCCAACUUCUGGGGCAGAAAGCAGAACUCCAAGGAUCCCUGCCCCACAGAACCUGUCCCGGGGGCUGGUGAACGUGGCCGCCAAGCUGACCCACAAUAAAGAUGUCAGAGACCUGUUUGUGGACCUCGUGGAGAAGGUGAGCUGUCGUGCUCUCUGACGCCCAACCUGGUCUGUCCCUGGCCUAUACAAGUGCUAAGUAUCUCUUGGGCCCGCAGUUUGUGGAACCCUGCCGCUCCGACCACUGGCCACUCAGCGACGUGCGGUUCUUCCUGAAUCAGUAUUCAGCGUCUGUCCACUCCCUCGAUGGCUUCCGACACCAGGCCCUCUGGGACCGCUACAUGGGCACCCUCCGCGGCUGCCUCCUGCGCCUGUAUCAUGACUGAGGCGCCUCCCAACGCUCCGCCCACGCUGACAAUAAAGUUGCUCUGAGUUUGGAGACUGGUCCUCGCUCCGGGGAGCAAGUGGGGGGCGUGCAGAUGUGCCUGUGUAUGUCUCUGAGCACCUGGUGUCCGUGUACAAGGAUGGAUGUGUACAGUGGCUCCUUGGGAACUGGGACAUAUCUCAGGGAAUGGUGUCUGUGCUCGGCCCAUCCACCAGAAGAGUCUGCUCACAAGCC
Molecule: small RNA, 1140 nt
Filed under: Pan troglodytes (chimpanzee)
Lineage: Eukaryota; Metazoa; Chordata; Mammalia; Primates; Hominidae
Description: retained intron
Source: RNAcentral